AUAAAUAGGAAAUGAAAAGUCCCUAAUGGCCCUUAGCCUUAUUACAUUUUGAUAAAGCGAAAAGAAAGACUCCUAUCUAUUUGGUCCCAGAAGGACCUUCCCAGAUUCUCCUUGGAUCCGUCGAACAUCUUUCCCAACUCGCGAAGUCCCAGCAAUAAGUAGGAUCUGGCUAGAUGUCCGUCUUCAUUUCCUUCAGCAUUUUGGCUGUCUUAGAUCCUCUUCAGAAACUUUCUUUCCAAUUCCACUAUGCCUCAUUCCAAGUAUCCCAGUCGCUUAUUGGCACUGACAGCCAUGUCCUUCUAUUCUUCAAUCAGUUUCUGGUUGGCC
RNAcentral lists this long non-coding RNA (327 nucleotides) under Nicotiana benthamiana. RNAcentral's name for it is "long non-coding RNA (NBEN_LNC025515)". Lineage: Eukaryota; Viridiplantae; Streptophyta; Magnoliopsida; Solanales; Solanaceae. The record is from RNAcentral.